CCCUAGUAACUGCGAGUGAAGCGGGAAAAGCUCAAAUUUAAAAUCUGGCAGUCUCUGGCUGUCCGAGUUGUAAUCUAGAGAAGUAAUGCCCGUGCUGGACCGUGUAUAAGUCUCCUGGGAUGGGGCGUCAUAGAGGGUGAGAAUCCCGUCUUUGACACGGACUACCAGUGCAUUGUGGUAUGCUCUCAAAGAGUCGAGUUGUUUGGGAAUGCAGCUCAAAAUGGGUGGUAAAUUCCAUCUAAAGCUAAAUAUUGGCGAGAGACCGAUAGCGAACAAGUACCGUGAGGGAAAGAUGAAAAGAACUUUGGAAAGAGAGUUAAACAGUACGUGAAAUUGCUGAAAGGGAAACGCUUGAAGUCAGUCGCGUUGGCCGGGAAUCAGCCUUGCUUUUGCAUGGUGUACUUUCUGGUUGACGGGUCAGCAUCAAUUUUGACCACUGGAAAAAGGCCUGGGGAAUGUGGCAGCUUCGGCUGUGUUAUAGCCCCUAGUCACAUACAGUGGUUGGGAUUGAGGAACUCAGCACGCCGCAAGGCCGGGUUUCGACCACGUUCGUGCUUAGGAUGCUGGCAUAAUGGCUUUAAGCGACCCGUCUUGAAACACGGACCAAGGAGUCUAACAUGCCUGCGAGUAUUUGGGUGGAAAACCCAAGUGCGUAAUGAAAGUGAAAGUUGAGAUCCCUGUCGUGGGGAGCAUCGACGCCCGGACCAGAACUUUUGGGACGGAUCCGCGGUGGAGCAUGUAUGUUGGGACCCGAAAGAUGGUGAACUAUGCCUGAAUAGGGUGAAGCCAGAGGAAACUCUGGUGGAGGCUCGUAGCGAUUCUGACGUGCAAAUCGAUCGUCAAAUUUGGGUAUAGGGGCGAAAGACUAAUCGAACCAUCUAGUAGCUGGUUCCUGC
RNAcentral lists this ribosomal RNA (896 nucleotides) under Agaricus sp. 11 MH-2017. Its description in RNAcentral is "eukaryotic LSU rRNA". It matches the Rfam family "Eukaryotic large subunit ribosomal RNA", at positions 78 to 961 of the family's 3401-position model. Lineage: Eukaryota; Fungi; Basidiomycota; Agaricomycetes; Agaricales; Agaricaceae. The record is from RNAcentral.